Molecule: small nucleolar RNA, 89 nt
Filed under: Aspergillus fumigatus Af293
Lineage: Eukaryota; Fungi; Ascomycota; Eurotiomycetes; Eurotiales; Aspergillaceae
Source: RNAcentral
ACACUGUGAUGAUUCCCUAGAUGACGAGUCUUAUUCGAGUUAUCGAUGCAGACAACAUUUCUUUUUUACCAUUCAUGCAUUUCUGACAA